This 450-nucleotide ribosomal RNA is filed under the name uncultured bacterium. RNAcentral's name for it is "partial 16S ribosomal RNA". It matches the Rfam family "Bacterial small subunit ribosomal RNA", at positions 354 to 796 of the family's 1533-position model. The record is from RNAcentral.
GUGGGGAAUCUUCCGCAAUGGACGAAAGUCUGACGGAGCAACGCCGCGUGAGUGAUGAAGGUCUUCGGAUUGUAAAGCUCUGUUAACCGGGACGAAAGAGCCUAGUGUGAAUAAUGCUAGGAAGUGACGGUACCGGAAUAGAAAGCCACGGCUAACUACGUGCCAGCAGCCGCGGUAAUACGUAGGUGGCAAGCGUUGUCCGGAAUUAUUGGGCGUAAAGCGCGCGCAGGCGGAUCUGCCAGUCUGUCUUAAAAGUUCGGGGCUUAACCCCGUGAUGGGAUGGAAACUACAGAUCUAGAGUAUCGGAGAGGAAAGUGGAAUUCCUAGUGUAGCGGUGAAAUGCGUAGAUAUUAGGAAGAACACCAGUGGCGAAGGCGACUUUCUGGACGAAAACUGACGCUGAGGCGCGAAAGCCAGGGGAGCGAACGGGAUUAGAAACCCUGGUAGUCC